AAGUCGUAACAAGGUUUCCGUAGGUGAACCUGCGGAAGGAUCAUUAGCGUAAUUCUGGUUGAAAAACCGAGGAUUUCCACACUUGUGUUUUAAGCAAAAGGUUUUCAAAGUGUUCUCUUGUUUUUCUUUACUGGAAAAGGGAGACACGAGGAAUUUUUUGCGAACUCAAAAACUGUCUCUUUUUUUCUUUUCUGUUUGAUUACAGAGGAAGAAGGACGGUAUAAACUUUUUUAUUAUCAAUAAUAAAUAAAAACUUUCAACAACGGAUCUCUUGGUUCUG
This 280-nucleotide unclassified non-coding RNA is filed under the name fungal sp. Its description in RNAcentral is "partial internal transcribed spacer region". The stretch from base 1 to 46 matches the Rfam family "Eukaryotic small subunit ribosomal RNA", at positions 1786 to 1831 of the family's 1831-position model. Lineage: Eukaryota; Fungi. The record is from RNAcentral.